GAUGAACGCUGGCGGCGUGCCUAAUACAUGCAAGUCGAGCGAACAGACGCGGAGCUUGCUCCUCUGACGUUAGCCGCGCACGGGUGUGUAACACGUGGAUCACCUCCCUGUCUGACUGGGAUCACUUCGGGAAACCGGAGCUAAUACCGGAUGAUAUAUUGAACCGCAUGGGUCAAUGGUGAGAGUCGGUUGUUCGGUCACUUAUCGAUGGUUCUCCGCCGCAUUAGCUAGUUGGUACGGUAACGGCUUACUAAGGCAACGAUGCGUAGCCGACCUGAUUGACGGAUCGGCCACACUGGAGCGGAGACACGGUCAAGACUCCUACGGGAGGCAGCAGUAGGGAAUCGGCCGCAAUGGGCGAAAGCCUGACGGAGCAAGGCCGCGUGAGUGAUGAAGGCGUUCGGAGCGUAAAACUGUGUUAUGAGUGAAGAACAAAUGUGUAAGUAACUAUGGAGGUCGUGACGGUACUGAAUCAGAAAGCCACGGCUAACUACGUG
RNAcentral lists this ribosomal RNA (497 nucleotides) under uncultured bacterium. RNAcentral describes it as "partial 16S ribosomal RNA". It matches the Rfam family "Bacterial small subunit ribosomal RNA", at positions 28 to 507 of the family's 1533-position model. The record is from RNAcentral.